AAAAGCUCGUAGUUGGAUCUCAGCUCCGGCCGGACGGUCCACCUACCGGUGGUUACUGUUCGCAGCCGAGCGUUUCGGCGGUUAUUCUUGAUGAUCUUCACCGGUUGUCUCGGGUGACCGCCAAGUUUACUUUGAAAAAAUUAGAGUGCUCAAAGCAGACGCGAUGUCUGAAUAAUUGUGCAUGGAAUAAUGGAAUAGGACCUCGGUUCUAUUUUGUUGGUUUUCGGAACACGAGGUAAUGAUUAAGAGGGACAGACGGGGGCAUUCGUAUUGCGACGCUAGAGGUGAAAUUCUUGGACCGUCGCAAGACGAACUACUGCGAAAGCAUUUGCCAAGAAUGUUUCCAUUAAUCAAGAACGAAAGUCAGAGGUUCGAAGGCGAUCAGAUACCGCCCUAGUUCUGACCAUAAACGAUGCCAGCCAGCAAUCCGCCUGUGUUCCUCAAAUGACACGGCGGGCGGCUUCCGGGAAACCAAAGCUUUUGGGUUCCGGGGGAAGUAUGGUUGCAAAGCUGAAACUUAAAGGAAUUGACGGAAGGGCACCACCAGAAAUGGAGCAUGCGGCUUAAUUUGACUCAACACGGGGAAACUUACCCGGCCCGGACACAGGAAGGAUUGACAGAUUAAGAGCUCUUUCUUGAUUCUGUGGGUGGUGGUGCAUGGCCGUUCUUAGUUGGUGGGGCGACUUGUCUGGUUAAUUCCGAUAACGAACGAGACUCUAGCCUACUAAAUAGACGUUCCUAUCCUCUUGAGUAGGACGCUCUUCUUAGAGGGACAAGCGGCGUUUAGCCGCACGAGACAGAGCAAUAACAGGUCUGGUAUGCCCUUAGAUGUCCGGGGCCGCACGCGCGCUACAUUGAAGGAAUCAGCGUGUGCUUUCCCUGUCCGAAAGGACUGGGUAACCCGUUGAACCUCCUUCGUGCUGGGGAUUGGCGCUUGUAAUUUCUCGCCAUGAACGAGGAAUUCCCAGUAAGCACGAGUCAUCAGCUCGUGUUGAUUACGUCCCUGCCCUUUGUACACACCGCCCGUCGCUACUACCGAUUGAAUGAUUUAGUGAGGUCUUCGGACUGGCGCUCGGAUUGGCCUUCGCGGUCGAGCCGGUGUGCCGGAAAGAUGCCCAAACUUGAUCAUUUAGAGGAAAGUAAAAGUCGUAACAAGGUUUUU
RNAcentral lists this ribosomal RNA (1162 nucleotides) under Augusta glyphica. RNAcentral's name for it is "SSU rRNA". It matches the Rfam family "Eukaryotic small subunit ribosomal RNA", at positions 622 to 1804 of the family's 1831-position model. The record is from RNAcentral. Lineage: Eukaryota; Metazoa; Arthropoda; Arachnida; Araneae; Araneidae.